CGGUUAUACCAAGUGAUUAAGCUAUAUUCAUAGGUAAAAAGAUAGUUAGGUAUAAAGUAAUAUAUUUAGUUUAUUAAACAUUUAUAAAAAAGUAAAAUUUGUAUAUAGAUAGCUAAUCUUAAAAUAACUAAUAAGUAAGAUACUGAAGCUGUGAUAAUCUUGAGGGAAACUGGGAUUAGAUACCCCAUUAUUCUUGAUUGUAAAUGUAAUUAGAUUUACCAGAGUACUAUGAAUAGUUAAAAAUUUAAAACUCAAAGGGCUUGGCGGUGUUUUAGACCUAUCAGGGGAACCUGUCUCGUAAUCGACAAUCCACGUAGUAUCUAACCUUAUUUUGUAAUCAGUUUGUAUACCGUCGUCGUCAGGUAACUUUUAAAAAUAUAGAAGUUAGCAACUAAAAUUAUUUAAAUUAAGACGUCAGAUCAAGGUGCAGCCUAUAAUAAGGAGAGGAUGGGUUACAAUUAUUAAAUUAUAACUACGAAAAUUUAACUGAAAUUAUUAUUUUGAAGGAGGACUUGAAAGUAAACUAGAAUAUAUAAAUAGUUUGAAUAAGGCUCUG
RNAcentral lists this ribosomal RNA (556 nucleotides) under Nassarius camelus. Its description in RNAcentral is "partial 12S ribosomal RNA". Lineage: Eukaryota; Metazoa; Mollusca; Gastropoda; Neogastropoda; Nassariidae. The record is from RNAcentral.